This 409-nucleotide long non-coding RNA is filed under the name Phoenix dactylifera (date palm). RNAcentral's name for it is "long non-coding RNA (PDAC_LNC019999)". The record is from RNAcentral. Lineage: Eukaryota; Viridiplantae; Streptophyta; Magnoliopsida; Arecales; Arecaceae.
AAACAAGAGGCAUCUCAUUACUUUCCCGUUGACCAUACUUUCCCCCCUUCUUUUCCCGCGAACCAAACGAGCCCUAAUUGUAUGAGAAAAGUCAGCACAGCCUUUCUCCCUCUAUUUCACCUGCAAACAGUCUAAGAGAGGAGAAAUAGAGGAGAAAGGGAGAGAGUGGAAGGGUGAGUGGGGAGGGUAGAUCCAACGUUCAGCAUGGUAGUUUCCCACUCCCUACUUUUUGUUAUAUCCAAAAAGAAUUAAGGGCAAAUUAUGCUAAAAUUUUGUAUUUUGGCAUGAUUUCGUGAUAUACUUUAUAUCUUAGUGAGAUCUUCGCAUUGGUAUAAAUUUUUGAUUUUUUAAUAAAAUAGAUAUUUUUGGAUAAAAUUUAAUAAAAGCUAAAGGAGAUGUUAGAUUCCAG